UGAUAGACUCUUCUCUAUGUUGAGCCUC
RNAcentral lists this non-coding RNA (28 nucleotides) under Rattus norvegicus (Norway rat). The record is from RNAcentral. Lineage: Eukaryota; Metazoa; Chordata; Mammalia; Rodentia; Muridae.